RNAcentral lists this long non-coding RNA (710 nucleotides) under Elaeis guineensis (African oil palm). Its description in RNAcentral is "long non-coding RNA (EGUI_LNC076482)". The record is from RNAcentral. Lineage: Eukaryota; Viridiplantae; Streptophyta; Magnoliopsida; Arecales; Arecaceae.
AAUUGCAUGUUAUAUAAGAUGUAAUCGGUAUUGAUCUAAAAAUUAUCAUGAUGCAUGAGAUAUAUGUAUGAAGUUUAGAUCAUAUCUAUGUAUAUUUAAUUAUUAAAUAUAUUAUGAACAUUUAUUUUUAUGGAUUGAAACAUAUGAUAUGCUUCACCUAAAAUCUUAGUAGAAUAGUUCUACAGAUCGAAACAUACAUUUCACACACUUAAUUAUGAAUUAAGAUUUGAAUGAUUUAGAUUUAAGAAUUGAAGAUCAUUAAGACACCACAUAAAUCGAUGGGCAAAGGAUUAGCUUGAAUCAGGACCUUCUAAUGGGUUAGACCUAGGAUUAGAAAUACAUAUAGAUCAAGUAGAGAAAUUGAUUAAAUAUAGAUCAAGUGUUGAAUUAGAUUAGGUCAGUAUUUCUCUAAAUCAAUCUCAAUAGUUGAAGUUUGAUCAAGUCCAUGUGUUUGACCUUAAUAAAUGGACCAUGAUCAUGGCUCCGUGGUUGAGCCCAAAUCUUUCGGUGAACCAAAUCGAAACUAAUUAAUCAGUUGAUUAUUGGAGCAACUUUCUCAGGUUGUGGACAUUAGGAAAUAACAAAGAUCAGGUCAUGGAGGUCCUUGAAGGUCAGCAACUAAACAAAAUAAAAACAGCCUUCAAAAUUUCAGCAGCCUUGUAAAUCCUGUCGGCAGGAUUUUUUUCUGUGAUUUGAACCUCUUCUCCACC